Molecule: long non-coding RNA, 752 nt
Organism: Mauremys mutica (yellowpond turtle)
Lineage: Eukaryota; Metazoa; Chordata; Testudines; Geoemydidae
Exons: 3
Source: RefSeq, a predicted model, not a curated record
AUUUGUCUUCUAAGAAACCACAGGUAAUAAACCUCUCUAGACAUAUCAGGAUGCCAAGAAUUUUAAUAAUUUUAUUUGGUACCUGGAUAUCACCACAAAUUCAUAGCUACAUGGAUACCUGUGUACUUCUCAAACAUGCUGCUGGCAGUGACUCAAGAGCAUGACUUUAAGGAACCCGGGCACAACCCCAAACAGGUUGUGAAUUCUACACUUGGAUUUCACCAAUCAAGUAUCAGGUGUAAACUCCUCAGGCACUGUAAUAGUCUAAACAGGGAAUCAUAGACAGUCCCCUUGCCACGCAGCCUUGCCACCAGAUGUAUUAUUGAUGAGUGGUAACGAGACAGACAUUUCCAGCUGCUGCAGCUACCAACUAAGCUUUAUUUAUGAAUUUAUUAAUUCCGGCGCUGAAGGAUGCUUGCUGUGGUUGCUUUUCCAUAGGGCGGAAGACUCACCUUAUUAAAUAUUUAUCAUCACGGAGUACACACUUCUCCUCACUUUACUAUUCAACACAUAUAGGAAAAUGGAAGCCACAGACCAUACACGUAAGACCAAACGAAAUGAGCUAAGUUUUCAAAGGGGCUUCCUAAAUUACACCUGCAAAAUCCUAAGGUCAGAAGGGCUCAUUGUGAUCAUCUACUGAGACCUCCUGCGUAACACAGGCACUAGCUUUCACCCAGCUCAACAACAUAUGCCUGACUGAAAUUAGAAGUGAUGGAAUGGGUAAGACAGAGUCUGUUUGGACCAAAAUCACU